This 490-nucleotide ribosomal RNA is filed under the name Apionsoma pectinatum. RNAcentral describes it as "partial 16S ribosomal RNA". It matches the Rfam family "Bacterial large subunit ribosomal RNA", at positions 1818 to 2598 of the family's 2925-position model. Lineage: Eukaryota; Metazoa; Annelida; Sipuncula; Phascolosomatiformes; Phascolosomatidae. The record is from RNAcentral.
GUCUUUUAGUAAGCCCUAUUAAAAGUUCGGCCUGCCCAGUGAGAAUUUAAACGGCCGCGGUAGCCUGACCGUGCUAAGGUAGCGCAAUCACUCGCCCUUUAAUUGUGGGCUAGUAUGAAUGGCCAGACAAGAGCUUUUCUGUCUCAAAUUAUUCUUAUGGAAACUUACUUUUAGGUGCAGAGGCCUAAAUAAUAGAAAAAGACAAGAAGACCCUAUCGAGCUUUAAUUUUAUUGUUUUGUACUAAAACAUAUAAAUUUUUAUUGGGGCAAUAUAGGAACAAAUAAACUUUCCUUUCAUUUUAACCGACUUAUCAGUCCAGAUCCAAUCUUAUUUCUCACUAGAAAAAGCUACCGUAGGGAUAACAGACUAAUUUCCUUUAAGAGUCCACAUUGACAAGGAAGCUUGGCACCUCGAUGUUGGCUUAAGAUAACAGCUAUUUUUCCGAAGCAGAACUCUAUGCUGUAGGUUUGUUCAACCUUUAAAAUCUUA